Molecule: ribosomal RNA, 274 nt
Filed under: uncultured bacterium
Lineage: Bacteria
Description: partial 16S ribosomal RNA
Rfam family: Bacterial small subunit ribosomal RNA
Source: RNAcentral
UGGCUCAGAACGAACGCUGGCGGCAUGCCUAACACAUGCAAGUCGAACGGAUGCAGCAAUGCAUCAGUGGCAGACGGGUGAGUAACACGUGGGAAUCUACCCAGUAGCCUGGAAUAACCGCGGGAAACUGCGGCUAAUACCGGAUACGCCCCUCGGGGGAAAGGAGCAAUCCACUAUUGGAGGAGCCCGCGUCCGAUUAGCUAGUUGGUGAGGUUUCUUCUCACCAAGGCGGAGAACGGUAGCUGGUUUGAGAGAACGACCAGCCACACUGGGA